UUUAUCGGAGAGUUUGAUCCUGGCUCAGGACGAACG
This 36-nucleotide ribosomal RNA is filed under the name Bacillus subtilis. RNAcentral describes it as "partial 16S ribosomal RNA". Lineage: Bacteria; Bacillati; Bacillota; Bacilli; Caryophanales; Bacillaceae. The record is from RNAcentral.